RNAcentral lists this long non-coding RNA (773 nucleotides) under Pomacea canaliculata. Its description in RNAcentral is "uncharacterized LOC112568442, transcript variant X2". Lineage: Eukaryota; Metazoa; Mollusca; Gastropoda; Architaenioglossa; Ampullariidae. The record is from RNAcentral.
UGUUGCCUGAUCCUGCCAGGCACCUGUUCCCCAUGCAAAGAUCAUCUGUCAGUCCAGUUGUAUGGAUAUCCAUCAUUCGACCAGCAACAUUCUUACACACAGCUUCAAGUUUUAGAGGCUAUACGUGGUGACAAGAUAAACAAUUACCUCCUGCAUGACAUUCCUUGGUGGUGGCCCUUGUCAGUUGUUGUGCCUGUCCAAGUGGUCCUCUCAACGGAAGUCAAGGGAAGAAUGACAAAAUGACUUAAGAGUCGAUCAAGCCGCAGAUUUAUUGCAUCAAGAAACAUGUGAAGCACAUAAGGUCUAUCAACUGGCUUCAAGGCUUAGCUUUUCAAAUAAAUACUUCUUGUGGUAGUGGAUGGACAAGUAACAAACAACAUAUGACUAAUCUGUCUAUGUUUGAGGGACAACUUAUUUAUCAUCACCUAAAAUGAGUAAACAUUUUUACUUUAUUUUGUUCUUCUUUUUGUAUGCAAGAGGUAGGUAUGGGAUAGGGUUUAUAAGUUUCUUUGUAUUUCAAAUAAUUUUUAAUUUUUUUCUAUUUUAGAAGACAAUAUUUCUCUACUACCAAUUAUUGAAGGGUUAGAAGAAAGAGAAUCAUGAAAAGAAAAUAAAGACCAUUAGUACUUAUGUAGAGAUUAUGGUCGCUGAUACAAAAUCUGACUCAAAAGUCGCUUGUCUCUGGAUUAAUGUGUUUUGAAUACUAUAAUGGCUCCCUCAAAUCAUUCAUUUUAGUAAUUUUAAGAUAUUGGAGAUGUCAUUAACGCUGUAUU